Molecule: ribosomal RNA, 457 nt
Filed under: uncultured Methanolinea sp.
Lineage: Archaea; Methanobacteriati; Methanobacteriota; Methanomicrobia; Methanomicrobiales; Methanoregulaceae
Description: bacterial SSU rRNA
Rfam family: Archaeal small subunit ribosomal RNA
Source: RNAcentral
ACAACGGGUGGAGCCUGCGGUUUAAUUGGACUCAACGCCGGGCAGCUCACCGGAUAAGACAGCUGGAUGAUAGCCGGGCUGAAGACUCUGCUUGACUAGCUGAGAGGAGGUGCAUGGCCGUCGUCAGUUCGUACUGUGAAGCAUCCUGUUAAGUCAGGCAACGAGCGAGACCCACGCCAACAGUUGCCAGCAUGUCCUCCGGGAUGAUGGGGACACUGUUGGGACCGCUCUGCUAAAGAGGAGGAAGGAAUGGGCAACGGUAGGUCAGCAUGCCCCGAAUUAUCCGGGCUACACGCGGGCUACAAUGGUCAGGACAAUGGGUAUCGACACCGAGAGGUGGAGGCAAUCUCCUAAACCUGUCCUUAGUUCGGAUUGUGGGCUGCAACUCGCCCACAUGAAGCUGGAAUCCGUAGUAAUCGCGUUUCAAAAUAGCGCGGUGAAUAUGUCCCUGCUCCUU